UAUCAAUAAGCGGAGGAAAAGAAACCAACAGGGAUUGCCUCAGUAACGGCGAGUGAAGCGGCAAUAGCUCAAAUUUGAAAUCUGGCUCUUUCAGAGUCCGAGUUGUAAUUUGUAGAGGAUGUUUCGGCUUACGCCCCGGUCUAAGUUCCUUGGAACAGGACGUCACAGAGGGUGAGAAUCCCGUAUGUGGCCGGCGGCUUCCGCCAUGUGAAACUCCUUCGACGAGUCGAGUUGUUUGGGAAUGCAGCUCUAAAUGGGAGGUAAAUUUCUUCUAAAGCUAAAUACUGGCCAGAGACCGAUAGCGCACAAGUAGAGUGAUCGAAAGAUGAAAAGCACUUUGGAAAGAGAGUUAAAAAGUACGUGAAAUUGUUGAAAGGGAAGCGCUUGCGACCAGACUUGCCCGCGGAUGCUCAACCGGUCCUUCGGCCGGUGCACUCUUCCGCGGUCAGGCCAGCAUCAGUUCGGGCGGUUGGAUAAAGGCUUUGGGAAUGUGGCUCUCUUCGGGGAGUGUUAUAGCCCAUUGUGCAAUACAACCUGCCUGGACUGAGGCCCGCGCUUCGGCUAGGAUGCUGGCGUAAUGGUCGUAAGCGGCCCGUCUUG
Molecule: ribosomal RNA, 600 nt
Filed under: Acanthohelicospora aurea
Lineage: Eukaryota; Fungi; Ascomycota; Dothideomycetes; Tubeufiales; Tubeufiaceae
Description: eukaryotic LSU rRNA
Rfam family: Eukaryotic large subunit ribosomal RNA
Source: RNAcentral